UUUUAGAUUAUCCGGGUGAGUGCUACGAGGCCAGCUAUGGAAUCCACUUGCCGAAAGAUUCAAAGCGUUUCAAUAAUGAAAAAUGUGAGCAGUAUAUUUGUUCUGAUGAUUACACGUUUUCACUUUAUGGAUGUGGUGUGAUAGGUGCGAGACCGAAUUGUCAUAUAUCCAAGAUCGAUUCAACGAAAGAGUAUCCAAAUUGUUGUCCCCGGGAGGUUUGCUCAUGAGUGUAAAAUACCUGUUGAAAAGUGAAUAGAACAGUGCCCUACUUUCUUUGCCGACUUUAAGGCGUUUUGAAUUAUGUACUAGGCAUAUUCCCGACAUCCCUCCAAUCUUGGAAGAAACUCACACACAAGACAA
Long non-coding RNA from Uranotaenia lowii, 360 nucleotides. RefSeq lists it as uncharacterized. Lineage: Eukaryota; Metazoa; Arthropoda; Insecta; Diptera; Culicidae. The transcript has 2 exons. The record is from RefSeq and is a predicted model, not a curated record.